UUAAAAUCAAUUCUUACUAUUUUUCAUGGGUUUUGUUUAGAAAGUGACUUGCAGGGGAAGGAGAGGGAGACCUGGGAAAACCACUGUUGUUUUUUUUUUUUAAUUUCCAAAACAUGUCAGAUUUAUGGUAAAUAUUUACAAGGAAAUAGCUUGUCUGAGUGCACGGGAACUGUUGAGUCACACCCUGAACCACUGAUUGAUCACCUGGGUAAAGGACCAGGUCAGCCCUGGGAGCACAAGUGAAGGCAAUUCACAUGUGUGACCGGAAGGAGUGGAGCCUGGCUGCACCUCUCUUAGACCCUAAGUAAGGGCUGACUGCUACUGGGGAAGGAUCUCUUUCUGGAGAUUGCUCCCUGGUGGUGCUUUCCCCUGUGAACCUGGAAUCUUCUGAUACAGGUUUGACACCAAAGCAAGACCUGAUGCCACAGGGAUCAUCAGAAUCUAGUAAACAGAAAUAUCUAAGAAGAGCAGAUGCACAUUGUGUCUUCUAGGCAUCCUCUCAGUGGCAUGGUUGAAAUCCAGAUUCUGAUCACACAAGAUUCAGCCCAGAAGGGGAACUGCAUCCUGGGUUGCGUACCAGAAGGUCAAGGGAGGUGAUUCUGCUCCUCUACUCUGCUUUCAUGAGACUCCACCUGGACUACUGCGUCAAGUUCUGGAGCCUCCAAUGUAAGAAGGACAUUGAGCUGUUGGAGCAGGUCCAGAGGAGGGAUACAAAUAUGAUCAGAAGGCUGGAGCACCUCCCCUGCAAGAACAGGCUGAGAGAGCUGGGGGUCUUCAGCCUGGAGAAGAGAAGGCUCCAUGCAGACCUUUUAGCAGCCUUCCAGUACCUGAAAGGGGCUUACAGGAAAGCUGGGGAGGAACUGUUUAUAAGAACAGGUAGCAACAGAAAAAGAGGAAAUGGUUUGAAACUGGAAGAGGUUAGAUUUAUAAAUAGAUAUCAGGAAGAAAUUAUUUACUGUGAGGAUGGUGAGACACUGGAACAAGUUGCCCAGGAGGUUGUGAAUGCCCCCUCCCUGGAAGCAUUCAAGGCCAGGCUGGAUGGGGCUUUGAGCAACCUGGUCUAGUGGGAGGUAUCCAUGCCUAUAGCAGGUGGGUUGGAACUAGAUGAUCUUAAAGGUCCCUUCCAACCCAAACCAUUCUAUGAUUCCAUGAUUCUAACAAAGAAAGGAAUAUAUUUUCUUUCAUCAUCCUUCUUGCUCUUUUUUUCUCUUUUGAACUAGAUUCCCAAUGUAGGCCAGAGGAAACUUUAUUUAUAUCCCUGCAAUUCAAGGCCCACAAACCAAUUCAUCAUGUUCCUGUUUUAUCUCAUCUGCUGUAAAG
This is a long non-coding RNA of Gallus gallus (chicken), 1320 nucleotides long. The record is from Ensembl. Lineage: Eukaryota; Metazoa; Chordata; Aves; Galliformes; Phasianidae.